This 484-nucleotide ribosomal RNA is filed under the name uncultured bacterium. Its description in RNAcentral is "partial 16S ribosomal RNA". It matches the Rfam family "Bacterial small subunit ribosomal RNA", at positions 30 to 507 of the family's 1533-position model. The record is from RNAcentral.
AUUGAACGCUGGCGGCAGGCCUAACACAUGCAAGUCGAGCGGAUGAAGGGAGCUUGCUCCUGGAUUCAGCGGCGGACGGGUGAGUAAUGCCUAGGAAUCUGCCUGGUAGUGGGGGAUAACGUCCGGAAACGGGCGCUAAUACCGCAUACGUCCUGAGGGAGAAAGUGGGGGAUCUUCGGACCUCACGCUAUCAGAUGAGCCUAGGUCGGAUUAGCUAGUUGGUGGGGUAAAGGCCUACCAAGGCGACGAUCCGUAACUGGUCUGAGAGGAUGAUCAGUCACACUGGAACUGAGACACGGUCCAGACUCCUACGGGAGGCAGCAGUGGGGAAUAUUGGACAAUGGGCGAAAGCCUGAUCCAGCCAUGCCGCGUGUGUGAAGAAGGUCUUCGGAUUGUAAAGCACUUUAAGUUGGGAGGAAGGGCAGUAAGUUAAUACCUUGCUGCUUUGACGUUACCAACAGAAUAAGCACCGGCUAACUUCGCG